GCCGAGGUGGCAGAGCGGACUAACGCGGCAGGCUCGAGACCUGUUUUACCUUCUGGUAAGCUAGGGUUCAAAUCCCUACCUCGGCGCCA
Molecule: transfer RNA, 89 nt
Filed under: Candidatus Methanoperedens sp.
Lineage: Archaea; Methanobacteriati; Methanobacteriota; Methanomicrobia; Methanosarcinales; Candidatus Methanoperedentaceae
Also listed under: 1 other name
Description: tRNA-Ser
Rfam family: tRNA
About the family: Transfer RNA (tRNA) molecules are approximately 80 nucleotides in length.
Source: RNAcentral